Molecule: ribosomal RNA, 253 nt
Filed under: uncultured bacterium
Lineage: Bacteria
Description: partial 16S ribosomal RNA
Rfam family: Bacterial small subunit ribosomal RNA
Source: RNAcentral
UACAGAGGUCUCAAGCGUUGUUCGGAUUCAUUGGGCGUAAAGGGUGCGUAGGCGGCGCGGUAAGUCGGGUGUGAAAUCUCGGAGCUUAACUCCGAAACUGCAUUCGAUACUGCCGUGCUUGAGGACUGGAGAGGAGACUGGAAUUUACGGUGUAGCGGUGAAAUGCGUAGAUAUCGUAAGGAAGACCAGUGGCGAAGGCGGCCUGCUGGGACAUGGCUGACGCUGAGGCGCGACAGCGUGGGGAGCAAACAGG